UGGGGAAUUUUGGACAAUGGGCGAAAGCCUGAUCCAGCAAUGCCGCGUGUGUGAAGAAGGCCUUCGGGUUGUAAAGCACUUUUGUCCGGAAAGAAAUCCUUGGCUCUAAUACAGUCGGGGGAUGACGGUACCGGAAGAAUAAGCACCGGCUAACUACGUGCCAGCAGCCGCGGUAAUACGUAGGGUGCAAGCGUUAAUCGGAAUUACUGGGCGUAAAGCGUGCGCAGGCGGUUUGCUAAGACCGAUGUGAAAUCCCCGGGGCUCAACCUGGGAACUGCAUUGGUGACUGGCAGGCUAGAGUAUGGCAGAGGGGGGUAGAAUUCCACGUGUAGCAGUGAAAUGCGUAGAGAUGUGGAGGAAUACCGAUGGCGAAGGCAGCCCCCUGGGCCAAUACUGACGCUCAUGCACGAAAGCGUGGGGAGCAAACAGGAUUAGAUACCCUGGUAGUCCACGCCCUAAAACGAUGUCAACUAGUUGUUGGGGAUUCAUUUUCCUUAGUAACGUAGCUAACGCGUGAAGUUGACCGCCUGGGGGAGUACGUCGCAA
This 546-nucleotide ribosomal RNA is filed under the name uncultured bacterium. RNAcentral's name for it is "partial 16S ribosomal RNA". It matches the Rfam family "Bacterial small subunit ribosomal RNA", at positions 355 to 891 of the family's 1533-position model. The record is from RNAcentral.